RNAcentral lists this ribosomal RNA (469 nucleotides) under uncultured bacterium. RNAcentral describes it as "partial 16S ribosomal RNA". It matches the Rfam family "Bacterial small subunit ribosomal RNA", at positions 28 to 507 of the family's 1533-position model. The record is from RNAcentral.
GACGAACGCUGGCGGCGUGCUUAACACAUGCCAGUCGAACGGAAAGGCCCUGCUUGCAGGGUGCUCGAGUGGCGAACGGGUGAGUAACACGUGGGUGAUCUGCCCCUUAUUUUGGGAUAAGCCUGGGAAACUGGGUCUAAUACUGGAUAGGACCAUGCUGUAGGUGGUGUGGUGGAAAGAUUAGUUUCGGUAAGGGAUGAGCUCGCGGCCUAUCAGCUUGUUGGUGGGGUAAUGGCCUACCAAGGCGUCGACGGGUAGCCGGCCUGAGAGGGUGGACGGCCACAUUGGGACUGCGAUACGGCCCAGACUCCUACGGGAGGCAGCAGUGGGGAAUAUUGCAAAAUGGGCGCAAGCCUGAUGCAGCGACGCCGCGUGGGGGAUGACGGCCUUCGGGCUGUAAACUCCUUUCAGCCAUGACGAAGCCCUUGUGGUGACGGUAGUGGUAGAAGAAGCACCGGCUAACUACGUG